Molecule: ribosomal RNA, 253 nt
Filed under: uncultured prokaryote
Description: partial 16S ribosomal RNA
Rfam family: Bacterial small subunit ribosomal RNA
Source: RNAcentral
UACGAAGGGUGCUAGCGUUGUUCGGAAUUACUGGGCGUAAAGCGCGCGUAGGCGGUAAUGCAAGUCAGAGGUGAAAUCCCAGGGCUUAACCCUGGAACUGCCUUUGAAACUGCAUUGCUGGAGUGUGUGAGGGGAUAGCGGAAUUCCUAAUGUAGAGGUGAAAUUCGUAGAUAUUAGGAGGAACACCGGUGGCGAAGGCGGCUAUCUGGCACACAACUGACGCUGAGGCGCGAAAGCGUGGGGAUCAAACAGG